Molecule: long non-coding RNA, 1378 nt
Organism: Sinocyclocheilus anshuiensis
Lineage: Eukaryota; Metazoa; Chordata; Actinopteri; Cypriniformes; Cyprinidae
Source: Ensembl
UUUAUUCUGUGGCAUAAGGAGAAAUGUAGCAUAAUAGCUGCUCUUUUCUAUAUUAAGAAAGUGAAUUGAGAUGGACACUAUCAAGCAAUGUAAAAGGUCUAGAAGGAUUAAAUAAGCCCCAUAUACCUUGUAAAUAAUGACGGGUGAACUAACCUGUUAACACGUCUCAGUGUGGCUGGUAUGCUUGUUUUUUCCUUCCUCUUUCACACUUUAUUUCAGGGGACAGUUUUGUGGAACAGAGAGCUCUGUCCACAUCUAGCACAGAGCACUAUUGUCCCCUCGGUGUCUUUUGAGGAGAGAGGGCUCUCUUAAAGGUCAUCCUACAGCACCAGUGCCCUUUAACCCCAUUUGCCCCAGGAGUGGCUGCUCUCGACCAGGGUUGCGGCGGUAAUCAGAGCUCUGGAGCCCUUCCCAGGCUUCUAUGCAGAAUGAGUCUGGAGAGGAGAAGAGAGCACUUCUACAAGAAGACACUGGAGAGCCUCUAUAGGCUAUUAGAGACUUCUAGUGUGUGUUUGUGUGUGGGUGCAAAAUAAGCAGGCCAAGAACAACUGCUCUUCUGCCAAAAGUUGUACAUGCACAAAAACCAGCUCACGCAUGCACAAACACAUCCUUUACCACCCUUCCCUGUUUUCAUUUAGUCUGCUUUUCUAUUCAUUGCUCUCUCUCUCAGGUGGUCUCGGAACCAAAAACUAGUGCUUUGAUUCAUUAGCGCUGCACAAGGUCCAAUUGUUUAUCUCACAAUUGAUAUUGAUUGGGAUUUGGGGGGAACAGUAAUUGGAGGAUGAUUUUUGACUGGUUGCACCUGCUCACCUGAUGCCUUCAUUUGCUCUUCUUUCUUCUGGGAAUAAUCUGCGAUUCAUCUUCACUGCCUGCUCUCUGCAGAACUUAAUGGGUGGUAACUCUUCUUCAGAGAUGCAAGAAACUUAAAGCUGUGAACCUUUCCUGCUUUUCAGUUUGAGUCCAGAGCCUCGAGCGCUGCUGCUAUUGAUGCUGCUAGAAAGCAGGUGGAGCCGCUGGCUAAGUUGACUGGAGGGAAAGUGAAGGAUGUCUCCAAAGAGACUGACGUGAAUAUCCUCAAGAACUUGAUUGCAGAGCUGCAGAAAGAGGUAACCGAGCUGGAGAAGCGUGGAGACGAGUUGGAGGCCGAAAUAGAAGCCAAGAAAGCCAAAUACCUGGAGGAGAUAGAGGAGCUGGAGGUACAAACGCUCACUGAUCGUAUUCUACUGCAGCAGUUCUCAGUAUCUCACCACUGUGCUGUCUCUGUUCAGAAUUACAUUUGUCAGCUGGAGGAGGAGGAGGCUGAUCUUCAGUUCCAGAUGAAGGAUCAGAGUGGGGACUAUGAAGAACUGCUGAAUCAGAAGAUGAAUCUAGACAUAGA